This 429-nucleotide ribosomal RNA is filed under the name Chloroflexota bacterium. Its description in RNAcentral is "Chloroflexi bacterium partial 16S ribosomal RNA". It matches the Rfam family "Bacterial small subunit ribosomal RNA", at positions 355 to 776 of the family's 1533-position model. The record is from RNAcentral. Lineage: Bacteria; Bacillati; Chloroflexota.
UGGGGAAUAUUGCACAAUGGGCGCAAGCCUGAUGCAGCCAUGCCGCGUGUAUGAAGAAGGCCUUCGGGUUGUAAAGUACUUUCAGUCGGGAGGAAGGUGUCAAGGUUAAUAACCUUGGCAAUUGACGUCACCGACAGAAGAAGCACCGGCUAACUCCGUGCCAGCAGCCGCGGUAAUACGGAGGGUGCAAGCGUUAAUCGGAAUUACUGGGCGUAAAGCGCACGCAGGCGGUUGAUUGAGUCAGAUGUGAAAUCCCCGGGCUUAACCCGGGAAUUGCAUCUGAUACUGGUCAGCUAGAGUCGUGUAGAGGGGGGUAGAAUUCCAUGUGUAGCGGUGAAAUGCGUAGGGAUGUGGAGGAAUACCGGUGGCGAAGGCGGCCCCAUGGACAAAGACUGACGCUCAGGUGCGAAAGCGUGGGGAGCAAACAGG